GGUGAAGUGUCCGAGAGGCUUAAGGAGCACGCCUGGAAAGUGUGUAUACGAAAACGUAUCAAGGGUUCGAAUCCCUUCUUCACCA
This 85-nucleotide transfer RNA is filed under the name Buchnera aphidicola (Mindarus abietinus). RNAcentral describes it as "transfer RNA Serine". It matches the Rfam family "tRNA". Rfam says of the family: Transfer RNA (tRNA) molecules are approximately 80 nucleotides in length. Their secondary structure includes four short double-helical elements and three loops (D, anti-codon, and T loops). The record is from RNAcentral. Lineage: Bacteria; Pseudomonadati; Pseudomonadota; Gammaproteobacteria; Enterobacterales; Erwiniaceae.